Long non-coding RNA from Xiphophorus hellerii (green swordtail), 4169 nucleotides. RefSeq lists it as uncharacterized. The transcript has 2 exons. Lineage: Eukaryota; Metazoa; Chordata; Actinopteri; Cyprinodontiformes; Poeciliidae. The record is from RefSeq and is a predicted model, not a curated record.
UAAAAGCAUGUGAGACUGAAAUUUAAAGACUGUUUAUGAGUAAACCUUCUAAUGGCCAUGUAGCAACCUUUAAUUGGCGAAAAAUUUGUUGAAGAUGAACAAGAACAAAAGUCCCAAAGCUUCACGUCAGACGGUUGAUGUUUGUCCCUCUGAGCAUUGACCAUACACUGUUUAUUUUCUUUCCUGAAAUCAAAGUCUCCUCAAGUCCUUUUCUCAAGCAUCGCUUGUGCCCAAGCUUAAGCAAACACAACCACAGAGUUGUCAUAAAACUGAAAUCAAAAGCUCCUAAAGUCCUUUUUUUAAAAAAAACUCACUUGUUCCCAAACUCAAGCAAAUGUAACCACAAAGCUGUCAUAAAACCAAACAACAAUGUUCAACGGUGUUAAACGGUUUUGAGGUUCUGCUAAAUGACAUCAGCUCCCCCUUUUCCCCCCUGAGCACGAAGAGCCGCAUGUUGCUUUUUAAUUUACCUAUUCGGUCCGUUUUCUCCUGACUUCAUAUCCUGUUUGGGUCCCACAGCUGAAAGCGUUACAACCUGAGGUCACCAGCUCUCACAGACUAAGCAGUUUCAGAAACAUGUAAAUAAAGCACGUAAGAAAGAAGUGAACCACAUUCGCUGUCUCCCUCAGGAAAACAAACACUUCAGCCGUCAUCUCCUCUUGUUAUUGUGAUCUGUGCAGCUCGAGAUCUCUGUGGCGUCUGGCCAGAAACGAGACACCCUUGACUCCCCUUUGGGCUUUGGCUGCAAAGGUACAGCCACGCAAGAAACCCGGACAUGUGUUUGCUCUUAGAAGAACUGAGAACCUCCUCAACAACAUAUGGAAACCAUAGCGGUUUCCUCACUGGUGUCGGCAAGGAUAUGGUUUCACCCACUGCAAAGCCAGCAACUUCUCUGUGUAGCGAAAAAAAAAAAAAAAACCUUUAGGGUUGACUUAGUUGAUGCCUUAGUUCUUCUUCGUGUAAGGAAUACGCUUUGUCUAGUAACUGUACUAAACUUGCACAAACAAGCAUGCAUUCAGACAAAUGUGAGCCAUAAAGACCUCACAAGACAAAUGUACACAUUUUCUCUUAAUCUCUCCUUUGGCGCCAUUCUGCCCGAUCUUCUGAUCGUUAACUAGAUGUGUGUUGCACAAGCAUGCUGGAUCCUGUCCCAUUUUAUGCUAAAUAGCUCAGCCCUGAGGGCAUAAGAUCAGAACUCAGCAGAUGAAACCCUGCUCCUUACUUCACUUGUGAUUUUUCCUUUAAGGUAGAUCUCAUAAAAAUAUGGUCUUUGCCUUUAAGUCUGUAAAAACCCCCCAAAACAAACAAAGAAAACAUUUUUGGUAAGUAGAGUUGAACUUAUAAACAGUUUGGAUUAUGUACUGACACAACUAGAACUUCUGUGUGUUUUACAGUUUUCCGACUGUAUACCUCAGCAGUGCCAGUUUGAGCAGUUUUGAGUCAUUGCUUUUAUCACAUGACUCAAACUGGUUGGCCUAGGUGAACUUUUCCUUUCUGUAAAUGAUGGAUACACAGCCGUGCGAAAAGGUAUUUGUCUUCUACUUUUUUCAGGUCAUGAUUUUGUUCCACUGUGUUUCAGUUCAUGAAAUUAUGAACUGAAACACAAUUCAUAUUAUUUGUUACUGAGGGAAAAGGGAAGCUUGUGGAUGACUAAAAAAAAGCAAGUUGCUGAGAUGCAACUUCGUAAAGGGUAUUUCCCCAAUUAUUAAUAGAGAUGUCUGCAUGUAUAAUGUUAACGCACUGUGGAUUGGAGAAAAUACAUUCUGACUUGCCUUGUUGGUCCAGUCGAUGAUACUGUAGGAUCAUUUGACACUUUAUGAACAUGUUAAACCAUAUCAUUUAAAACUUUAUAUGAGAUGAAGGCCCAUAAUGAGUGGCUCUUCUCACCAGAGCUGCUUUUUAUGUAACCUAAAUGUUUUCAAAGGGAAAAUUUCUAAUGUCUAUUUGCCGAAAAAUCCUAAGGAGCCAUUUUGUCGAAAACCAUACAACAUGAAUCAAACGAAACUGUGAAAGUCUCAUUUUUCUCACCUCCUCGCCCUACCGUCGUACGUUCUCUCUACCUAGCCCCAAUUCUGUUCCUUUAAAUGUGGCCAGAGUGAAGCACCAGUGCGUCGUACCCUCCGUCUGAAAUAGCAGGGUGAGUCACUUGGGUAGCCAGGACGGAAGACCUCGCAUGCCCAGAUGAGUUUCCACAAGCCAUUCCAGAUCGUUGACUUGUAAGAAUUGCUAAGUGAUACGUAAGCUAAGGUGUCUUUUGCAACACCGAGGGGUCUGCAGGUCUGGUUUGUUUUGCAGUCUCACAUGGACUCGGUCUGCUCGUCAGCCAGCUUCUGCAGUUUACACUCCUAUAUGUACUCGAUUUUUCAGAAUGUAGUGUGACUUUGCGUGGGCGAUUCUGUAACCCUGCGAGCCGCAAACAGUUUGCAUUUAUUUAAUGCUUCACAUCCUACUGAGAAGGACCAAAGUCAAGACAGCAGCAGUCACUAUUACACAACCAGAAUCAUGUUAUGAAAGUCACGAAAGCUGGGUGUUGAUUGUCUUGGCAGAGACUUGAAGACAGUUUUUCUUUAUUAGAGGUGUAAGUUUUAUGAAUUACAUAAAAUAAGUUGGUAAAAGUUAAUAAAAAUGAUACAUGUUUAUCUGAUUUGGCUUAUCACAAACAUAGAACUCAGAUAUGCAACAACAACAUGGUUUUCUUGUUUUCAAGAAAUCUGCUGUUUCCUUGAAAACAGCAGAUUUUGGCAAAUAAUCAGCCUUAGUGCAGUUUAAUGACUUCACCCAAACAGCUAGCCUCAUCAUUAUUGCUGUCAUUGCAAUUAUUUAUUUAACGAGACGUUUUUGCAAUAAUGUAAUUACAGUGAUAGUGCAAUAAUGAUCAAUUUGUAGUGUAUGGUGCCAUCCAUACUAUUUUUCUUAACAUUUAGUAUCCCAUUUCAUAGGAAGCCCAGUAGUGACCAUGGUGAUAAUAUUUUUUAAGGUUGAGAACCACUUUGGACAUUUCGAAGUCAAUCUUGUGUAAUUUGCAUAUUCUGAGGCAGAUUUGUGUUAUUUCUCUGCUUUGCAUUGUGGGAGGAUUGAGUUCCAGGUAGCAUAGAUGAGAUGACAGCAGUGUAGACGUCUUGAAUUUCUGUUGUGUUUUAUUGGUUCAUUUGCAUGCUUUUGCGAUCUGUGGCUCAAAAUUAAAAUGAAAGUAAGAAUAAAAUAAUUAUUUCGUGAGAUCUGAUUUUGAAGUUGUAAGAAUUUAAAUCUCAGGAUCAAGCUGUCUCUGCGGAUUUAAUAUAAGUUCCUCGUUCUUGCGUCUUUAGGGAAAACCUCCAGUGUCCUAAAUCUACUGGCCUGUAAACUCAGAGGUUAACGUUGUAUUUAUUUGAUGUCAUUUGGAAACAUCAGUCAGACUCCAUUUUCAAGCCAACAAGCAUGCUUCUAAUUGUGAUCGUUUAUACUGUAGUUCCAGUUGUUUGGCAUGAAUGUCGUUUCCCCCUGUGGUGCCGAGGAAGUAAUUGUUUUGUGUGGGAGCAGAGCCCUGCAGCAGAGCGUGGGGUUGUGUUUAGACGACUUGUGGUUUAGCUGUAAUUAUUCAAGCUGUCCACUCAUAAAACACACGAUCAUGGGAAGUCUGAGGCACACCAGAGGGACUGUAGUGGAUGCAUCGAGGAGCUUCAGAUUUCCUUUCAGAUCGCUGCGUCUUACAAAAGUUUUGAAAUUAUGCUUUUGUUUGUUUGACUGGUGUAUGGCGAUACAUCAGUCAUUAAAACACAAUAAAGUAACUUCUUUCAUGUAUGUUCAAAGUGUUUUUUUCCCCUUCAGAUAGAGACUUGACAAGAGAGGAUGUUGAAUCAUGUGCUGUCAGCAUUGGUCCCAAAAAGCAAAUGUUGUUGAACAGAUGUAAAUGACUAUGAGUGCCAUUAAGCUUUGGAAGAACUUAACUGAGCAGCUAUUUACAGCUAUUAAACUGAAAUUGAAGGUGGGUUAGCUGACUCCAUCAUACAAAUGGAUAAUGACUCAGAGAAUACUUCCUGUCUUUGUCAACAAAAAUUCUCUUAUAUCCAGGGCUCAUAAUAAUACCUUUGACUAAAACAGUCUUGCAAAGACAGAUGGUAUUUUAGGAUUGUGAAAUCUCGUCUUACAACAUCCAAUUACCCUCCUGUCAAAUGUACAUCAUCAUCAUC